UAGAGCCUACGGGGGGCAGCAGUGGGGAAUAUUGCACAAUGGGGGAAACCCUGAUGCAGCAACGCCGCGUGAAGGAAGACGGUUUUCGGAUUGUAAACUUCUGUUCUUAGUGAAGAAUAAUGACGGUAGCUAAGGAGCAAGCCACGGCUAACUACGUGCCAGCAGCCGCGGUAAUACGUAGGUGGCAAGCGUUGUCCGGAAUUACUGGGUGUAAAGAGAGCGCAGGCGGGAAGCCAAGUCAGCUGUGAAAACAACGGGCUUAACUAGUAGGCUGCAGUUGAAACUGGUUUUCUUG
This 295-nucleotide ribosomal RNA is filed under the name uncultured bacterium. RNAcentral's name for it is "partial 16S ribosomal RNA". It matches the Rfam family "Bacterial small subunit ribosomal RNA", at positions 332 to 644 of the family's 1533-position model. The record is from RNAcentral.